AGCCUUUAGGCUACCGUUGUUGAAUCUCGCCUGAGCUCAGAAGCAAAGUAGAGUUGGGUCGGGCUCGUACCUGGAUGGGAGACCACCAGGAAAUCACGAGUUGNGGGCUA
Molecule: ribosomal RNA, 110 nt
Filed under: Salvator merianae (Argentine black and white tegu)
Lineage: Eukaryota; Metazoa; Chordata; Lepidosauria; Squamata; Teiidae
Source: RNAcentral